RNAcentral lists this ribosomal RNA (497 nucleotides) under uncultured bacterium. RNAcentral describes it as "partial 16S ribosomal RNA". It matches the Rfam family "Bacterial small subunit ribosomal RNA", at positions 28 to 507 of the family's 1533-position model. The record is from RNAcentral.
GAUGAACGCUGGCGGCGUGCCUAAUACAUGCAAGUCGAGCGAACGGACGAGAAGCUUGCGUCUCUGAUGUUAGCGGCGGACGGGUGAGUAACACGUGGAUAACCUACCUAUAAGACUGGGAUAACUUCGGGAAACCGUAGCUAAUACCGGAUAAUAUUUUGAACCGCAUGGUUCAAAAGUGAAAGACGGUCUUGCUGUCACUUAUAGAUGGAUCCGCGCUGCAUUAGCUAGUUGGUAAGGUAACGGCUUACCAAGGCAACGAUGCAUAGCCGACCUGAGAGGGUGAUCGGCCACACUGGAACUGAGACACGGUCCAGACUCCUACGGGAGGCAGCAGUAGGGAAUCUUCCGCAAUGGGCGAAAGCCUGACGGAGCAACGCCGCGUGAGUGAUGAAGGUCUUCGGAUCGUAAAACUCUGUUAUUAGGGAAGAACAUAUGUGUAAGUAACUGUGCACAUCUUGACGGUACCUAAUCAGAAAGCCACGGCUAACUACGUG